RNAcentral lists this transfer RNA (84 nucleotides) under Hominimerdicola alba. RNAcentral's name for it is "Ruminococcus albus tRNA_Leu_CAG". It matches the Rfam family "tRNA". From Rfam's summary of the family: Transfer RNA (tRNA) molecules are approximately 80 nucleotides in length. Their secondary structure includes four short double-helical elements and three loops (D, anti-codon, and T loops). Further hydrogen bonds mediate the characteristic L-shaped molecular structure. tRNAs have two regions of fundamental functional importance: the anti-codon, which is responsible for specific mRNA codon recognition, and the 3' end, to which the tRNAs corresponding amino acid is attached (by aminoacyl-tRNA synthetases). tRNAs cope with the degeneracy of the genetic code in two manners: having more than one tRNA (with a specific anti-codon) for a particular amino acid; and 'wobble' base-pairing, i.e. permitting non-standard base-pairing at the 3rd anti-codon position. Lineage: Bacteria; Bacillati; Bacillota; Clostridia; Eubacteriales; Oscillospiraceae. The record is from RNAcentral. RNAcentral also lists the same sequence under 2 other names.
GCAGGUAUGGCGGAAUAGGCAGACGCGCUAGCUUCAGGUGCUAGUGGGGGCAACCUCGUGGAAGUUCAAGUCUUCUUACCUGCA